CCGGAGGAAGGUGGGGAUGACGUCAAGUCAUCAUCGGCCCUUACGGCCGAGGGCUACACACGUGCUACAAUGGUCGGUACAGAGGGUUGCCAAGCCGCGAGGUGGAGCUAAUCUCACAAAACCGAUCGUAGUCCGGAUCGCAGUCUGCAACUCGACUGCGUGAAGUCGGAAUCGCUAGUAAUCGUGAAUCAGAAUGUCACGGUGAAUACGUUCCCGGGCCUU
Molecule: ribosomal RNA, 222 nt
Filed under: uncultured Pseudomonas sp.
Lineage: Bacteria; Pseudomonadati; Pseudomonadota; Gammaproteobacteria; Pseudomonadales; Pseudomonadaceae
Description: partial 16S ribosomal RNA
Rfam family: Bacterial small subunit ribosomal RNA
Source: RNAcentral